GACGAACGCUGGCGGCGUGCUUAACACAUGCCAGUCGAACGGACAGGCCCUGCUUUUGUGGGGUGCUCGAGUGGCGAACGGGUUAGUACCACGUGAGUAACCUGCCCUUCGCUUUCGGAUAACUUCAGGAAACUGGGGCUAUUACCGGAUAGGAGCUCCUGUUGCAUGGUGGGGGUUGGAGAGUUUCGGCGGUUGGGGAUGGUCUGGCAGGUUAUCAGCUUGUUGGUGGUGUAGUGGCUUCCCCAGGCUUAGACGGGUACCCGGCCUGAGAGGGUGACCGGGGUCAUGAGUACUGAGGUACGGCCCAGACGCCAACUUGGGGCAGCAGGGGGGAAUAUGGCACAAUGAGCGGAAGCCUGAGACGAAAGCGUCGGGUUCGUGAAGACGGCCUGUUGGGUGAGAACCGCUUUCGCCUAAGACGAAGCGGGAGUGACGGUAACGGGUAAAGAAGCACCGGCUAACUACGUG
Molecule: ribosomal RNA, 468 nt
Filed under: uncultured bacterium
Lineage: Bacteria
Description: partial 16S ribosomal RNA
Rfam family: Bacterial small subunit ribosomal RNA
Source: RNAcentral